UGGAGACAAAAAUACGAUCCUAGUGAUAAGAGGAAAGGAGAUUUGUUUAGUCGACUUCCUCAAUCUUGGGACCAGCUCCACUUCCCCCAGCAGAGGGCCCAUCCUCAUCCAUCCCGCCUCCCAUGUCUGCGCCCGCACCCUGGUACAUCUUCGCAAUGAUGGGGUUACAGAUCCCCUCCAGCUCCUUCAUCUUAUCCUCAAACUCGUCAGCCUCUGCAAGCUGGUUCCCAUCCAGCCACUGGAUCGCCUGAUCUAUGGCGUCCUCAAUCUUCUUUUUGUCAGCCGGACUCAGCUUCGACGAGAUCUUCUCAUCCUUCACGGUGUUCCUCAUGUUAUACGCGUAGUUCUCCAAAGCGUUCUUGGCCUCCACCUUCUUCUUGUGCUCCUCGUCCUCCGACUUGUACUUCUCGGCAUCCUGAACCAUCUUCUCGAUCUCAUCCUUGCUCAAUCUGCCCUUAUCGUUGGUGAUGGUGAUCUUAUUCUUCUGCCCAGUAGUCUUAUCCUCAGCAGAGACAUU
Molecule: long non-coding RNA, 517 nt
Filed under: Ananas comosus (pineapple)
Lineage: Eukaryota; Viridiplantae; Streptophyta; Magnoliopsida; Poales; Bromeliaceae
Description: long non-coding RNA (ACOM_LNC032118)
Source: RNAcentral